GCUGGGUGGAUUAGUGGCGAACGGGUGAGUAACACGUGAGUAACCUGCCCUUAACUCUGGGAUAAGCCUGGGAAACUGGGUCUAAUACCGGAUAGGAGCGUCCACCGCAUGGUGGGUGUUGGAAAGAUUUAUCGGUUUUGGAUGGACUCGCGGCCUAUCAGCUUGUUGGUGAGGUAAUGGCUCACCAAGGCGACGACGGGUAGCCGGCCUGAGAGGGUGACCGGCCACACUGGGACUGAGACACGGCCCAGACUCCUACGGGAGGCAGCAGUGGGGAAUAUUGCACAAUGGGCGCAAGCCUGAUGCAGCGACGCCGCGUGAGGGAUGACGGCCUUCGGGUUGUAAACCUCUUUCAGUAGGGAAGAAGCGAAAGUGACGGUACCUGCAGAAGAAGCACCGGCUAACUACGUGCCAGCAGCCGCGGUAAUACGUAGGGUGCGAGCGUUAUCCGGAAUUAUUGGGCGUAAAGAGCUCGUAGGCGGUUUGUCGCGUCUGUCGUGAAAGUCCGGGGCUUAACCCCGGAUCUGCGGUGGGUACGGGCAGACUAGAGUGCAGUAGGGGAGACUGGAAUUCCUGGUGUAGCGGUGGAAUGCGCAGAUAUCAG
Molecule: ribosomal RNA, 604 nt
Filed under: Micrococcus sp.
Lineage: Bacteria; Bacillati; Actinomycetota; Actinomycetes; Micrococcales; Micrococcaceae
Description: bacterial SSU rRNA
Rfam family: Bacterial small subunit ribosomal RNA
Source: RNAcentral